GACGAACGCUGGCGGCGUGCUUAACACAUGCAAGUCGAACGGAAAGGCCCUGCUUUUGUGGGGUGCUCGAGUGGCGAACGGGUGAGUAACACGUGAGUAACCUGCCCUUGACUUUGGGAUAACUUCAGGAAACUGGGGCUAAUACCGGAUAGGAGCUCCUGCUGCAUGGUGGGGGUUGGAAAGUUUCGGCGGUUGGGGAUGGACUCGCGGCUUAUCAGCUUGUUGGUGGGGUAGUGGCUUACCAAGGCCUUGACGGGUAGCCGGCCUGAGAGGGUGACCGGCCACAUUGGGACUGAGAUACGGCCCAGACUCCUACGGGAGGCAGCAGUGGGGAAUAUUGCACAAUGGGCGGAAGCCUGAUGCAGCAACGCCGCGUGCGGGAUGACGGUCUUCGGGUUGUAAACCGCUUUCGCCUGUGACGAAGCGUGAGUGACGGUAAUGGGUAAAGAAGCACCGGCUAACUACGUG
Molecule: ribosomal RNA, 468 nt
Filed under: uncultured bacterium
Lineage: Bacteria
Description: partial 16S ribosomal RNA
Rfam family: Bacterial small subunit ribosomal RNA
Source: RNAcentral